This 133-nucleotide ribosomal RNA is filed under the name uncultured bacterium. Its description in RNAcentral is "partial 16S ribosomal RNA". It matches the Rfam family "Bacterial small subunit ribosomal RNA", at positions 356 to 504 of the family's 1533-position model. The record is from RNAcentral.
GGGGAAUAUUGGGCAAUGGAGGCAACUCUGACCCAGCAACGCCGCGUGAAUGAUGAAGUCUUCGGAUUGUAAAGUUCUUUUCUAAUGGAAGAAGAAAGUGACGGUACCUUAGGAAUAAGCCUCGGCUAACUAC